This 114-nucleotide ribosomal RNA is filed under the name Betaproteobacteria bacterium. Lineage: Bacteria; Pseudomonadati; Pseudomonadota; Betaproteobacteria. The record is from RNAcentral.
CCUGAUGACCAUAGCGAGGUGGAACCACCCCUUCCCAUCCCGAACAGGGCCGUGAAACGCUUCAGCGCCGAUGAUAGUGCAGACUACCUGUGCGAAAGUAGGACAUCGUCAGGC